This 253-nucleotide ribosomal RNA is filed under the name uncultured bacterium. RNAcentral describes it as "partial 16S ribosomal RNA". It matches the Rfam family "Bacterial small subunit ribosomal RNA", at positions 524 to 776 of the family's 1533-position model. The record is from RNAcentral.
UACGUAGGGUGCGAGCGUUGUCCGGAAUCAUUGGGCGUAAAGCGCGUGUAGGCGGCUCGAUAAGUCUGCUGUGAAAGUCCAGGGCUCAACCCUGGGAUGCCGGUGGAUACUGUCGAGCUCGAGUCCGGAAGAGGAGUGUGGAAUUCCUGGUGUAGCGGUGAAAUGCGCAGAUAUCAGGAGGAACACCAAUGGCGAAGGCAGCACUCUGGGACGUGACUGACGCUGAGACGCGAAAGCGUGGGGAGCAAACAGG